Molecule: ribosomal RNA, 579 nt
Filed under: Penicillium biourgeianum
Lineage: Eukaryota; Fungi; Ascomycota; Eurotiomycetes; Eurotiales; Aspergillaceae
Description: eukaryotic LSU rRNA
Rfam family: Eukaryotic large subunit ribosomal RNA
Source: RNAcentral
UUAAGCAUAUCAAUAAGCGGAGGAAAAGAAACCAACAGGGAUUACCUCAGUAACGGCGAGUGAAGCGGUAAGAGCUCAAAUUUGAAAGCUGGCUCCUUCGGGGUCCGCAUUGUAAUUUGCAGAGGAUGCUUCGGGAGCGGUCCCCAUCUAAGUGCCCUGGAACGGGACGUCAUAGAGGGUGAGAAUCCCGUAUGGGAUGGGGUGUCCGCGCCCGUGUGAAGCUCCUUCGACGAGUCGAGUUGUUUGGGAAUGCAGCUCUAAAUGGGUGGUAAAUUUCAUCUAAAGCUAAAUAUUGGCCGGAGACCGAUAGCGCACAAGUAGAGUGAUCGAAAGAUGAAAAGCACUUUGAAAAGAGAGUUAAAAAGCACGUGAAAUUGUUGAAAGGGAAGCGCUUGCGACCAGACUCGCUCGCGGGGUUCAGCCGGCAUUCGUGCCGGUGUACUUCCCCGCGAGCGGGCCAACGUCGGUUUGGGCGGUCAGUCAAAGGCCCCUGGAAGGUAACGCCCCCUCGGGGGCGUCUUAUAGCCAGGGGUGCAAUGUGGCCUGCCUGGACCGAGGAACGCGCUUCGGCUCGGACGU